AGCGGGGGACCGUAAGGCCUGGCGCUAUUGGAGCGGCCGAUGUCAGAUUAGCUAGUUGGUGGGGUAAAAGCCUACCAAGGCGACGAUCUGUAGCUGGUCUGAGAGGACGACCAGCCACACUGGGACUGAGACACGGCCCAGACUCCUACGGGAGGCAGCAGUGGGGAAUUUUGGACAAUGGGCGCAAGCCUGAUCCAGCCAUGCCGCGUGCGGGAAGAAGGCCUUCGGGUUGUAAACCGCUUUUGUCAGGGAAGAAACGCUCUGGGCUAAUACCCCGGGGUAAUGACGGUACCUGAAGAAUAAGCACCCGGCUAACUACCGUGCCAGCAGCCCGUGGUAAAUACGUAUGGGUGCAAGCGUUAAAUCKGAAUUACUUGGGCUGUAAAGCGUGCGCCAGGCGGGUUAUACAAUGACCAGAUUGUGAAAUUCCUCCGGGCCUCAACCUGGGAACUGCAAUUUGUGACUGUAUAAGCUUAGAGUACCGUAUAAGGGGGAUUGGA
This 500-nucleotide ribosomal RNA is filed under the name uncultured bacterium. Its description in RNAcentral is "bacterial SSU rRNA". It matches the Rfam family "Bacterial small subunit ribosomal RNA", at positions 190 to 665 of the family's 1533-position model. The record is from RNAcentral.